Molecule: long non-coding RNA, 1260 nt
Filed under: Papio anubis (olive baboon)
Lineage: Eukaryota; Metazoa; Chordata; Mammalia; Primates; Cercopithecidae
Description: lncRNA (ENSPANG00000048575.1)
Source: RNAcentral
AUUACUCUGAGAUACACUUAUUGAUGUACUUGUAAAUUCAUAGCAGGAAGUGAAAUCUCGUUUUGUCUUCUGAGAGGGAAACUCUAGAAAGUAGAGAUCACAAAUCUCUAUAUGACUCAACAGUUCAAGGCUUGUUAAAAAAUAAAGGAUGUACCUUUAAAUAGAGUUGUGGUCAAACACACUGAGUUAUAAGUUAAAAGUUUUUCUUUCAUAAAAUCACAGCCUGGAGGAAGUAGACUACUUAGGAAACAGUUUAGCCUCUUAUAAUAAAAAUGUAAGGAAAUUGCUCUCCUGGCCCACCUGGUCUUCCUCCUGGCCUUCCCUUUACCUAACCUCUUCUCUUCUAAUUAGACGGACCACUUGAGUACACAAUCUUAGGGAGUCUUUUCUAACAAGCCCUGGUCUCUCCAAGAACCGAGAGGAGUGUGACAAAGCUGGAAGGGAGUUAUAAAAACAAAGCCGGUCUUCUGUCUCUCCUCUUCUUUCAUUGUUUACCUUAAUUAACCAAUAUUUGAGUUUAAAAUCUUUUCUAAUUUCUUUUAGAUGCUUUCCAGUUGCUCUUAUGUUAUAACAUAUUGAAUAUUUUUUUGUAAUGAUAUGAAACAGAAUACAUUUCUUAAAUCAUAUCCAUCUGAGAAUCUCUAGAAAUUCUACAUGUAUGACUUCACAAAACUACUUGGUGUUUCUGGGCUUUCUUAACUUUCAGGGAUUCUAAAGUGUAGCCAUUUAUUUCACUGUCAGGAAACAAACUGAAAACGAAUAGUUUCACUACAAAUCGGUGCAUACUAAAACAGAAUACCAGGCAACCGCAAACAAGAAUGAAGAGGUUCUUUUUGUACCAAUGUGGAAAAAUUGGUCUUUCUCUGUUAUUCAGGCUGGAGUGCAGUGGUGCCAUCACAGCUCACGGCAGCCUGAACCUCCAGCUCUCAACUGAUCCUCCCACCUCAGUCUUCCAAGUAGCUAGGACAACAGAGAUGGGGUGUCACUACGUUGACCAGGCUGCUUUUGAACUCCCGGCUUCAAGCGAUCCUCCCACCUUGUCCUCCCAAAGUACUUGGAUUACAGGUAUGAGCCACCACACCAUGCUGACUUUACUUCUUGAUGGGAUGAAUAUCAUCACAUAGUAACGACAGCAUGUGGGAUGGGAGAUAUUGUUGGAGCCAUCUUCAGAAAAUGCAGUCUGCCAAAAUAUAUCUCCCAAAGAGAAACACUGCAAUCUCUAUGAGAAAUCUGUUGCUAAAAGUAAAGAGAUAUACCCCA